UUGGAGGGCAAGUCUGGUGCCAGCAGCCGCGGUAAUUCCAGCUCCAAUAGCGUAUAUUAAAGUUGUUGCAGUUAAAAAGCUCGUAGUUGAAUUUCGGGGUUAGUAGGUUGGUCAUGCCUCCGGUAUGUACUGAUCUCACUGAUUCCUCCUUCCUUAUGAACCGUAAUGCCAUUAAUUUGGUGUUGCGGGGAAUUUGGACUGUUACUUUGAAAAAAUUAGAGUGUUUAAAGCAGGCUAACGCUUGAAUACAUUAGCAUGGAAUAAUGAAAUAGGACGUUCGAUCUUAUUUUGUUGGUUUCUAGGAUUGACGUAAUGAUUAAUAGGGAUAGUUGGGGGCAUUAGUAUUCAAUUGUCAGAGGCGAAAUUCUUGGACUUAUUGAAGACUAACUACUGCGAAAGCAUUUGCCAAGGAUGUUUUCAUUAAUCAAGAACGAAAGUUAGGGGAUCGAAGACGAUCAGAUACCGUCGUAGUCUGAACCAUAAACUAUGCCGACUAGGGAUCGGAUGAUGUUAAUUUUUUAAUGACUCAUUCGGCGCCUUACGGGAAAC
This 549-nucleotide ribosomal RNA is filed under the name uncultured Glomus. RNAcentral describes it as "SSU rRNA". It matches the Rfam family "Eukaryotic small subunit ribosomal RNA", at positions 548 to 1098 of the family's 1831-position model. Lineage: Eukaryota; Fungi; Glomeromycota; Glomeromycetes; Glomerales; Glomeraceae. The record is from RNAcentral.